CUUUGUGUAUCUAAAAUCGUUGCUUUGGCGGGCCUGCGGUGUAAUGCCGCUGCCGGCUCACGCUGGUUAGCGCCCGCCAGAGAACCGUUAAACUCUUGUUUAUUUUAG
This 108-nucleotide ribosomal RNA is filed under the name Coniosporium sp. SL0811. RNAcentral describes it as "partial 18S ribosomal RNA". The record is from RNAcentral. Lineage: Eukaryota; Fungi; Ascomycota; Dothideomycetes.